AACAUGGACAGAUGGCAAUAUGGAGAUUAUGCACGUCAAUUGAUUUUGUUUCUACGUCGAAAACUGUGGUUAAUAAGGCAAUAAAUGAAAAAAAAAACAUAAAUAAAAAAUUAUAUUUUUUUUACUGACAAUGGUCGAGUUUCACCGGUAAGGGACCAUAUUGCUUGGUAAUUUCUUGUUUAAAUUGCAAUACAAUUUACAAUUCCAAUUGUUUUGCUAAAUGUUUUAUGUUUUUAUUUUAUUUUCUCACAUCUUAUGGGCACUCGCCAAACCUAAAGCUAUCGGAUGAUGAACGGGACAACAUUAUUGACACCCUUGUUGAUCUUCUUAAUGAAGUUUUUCCGUAGUAACCAGCGUUCUGUGGAAUGCAGAGAGAAACUGAUUAAGUUAAAAGCAAACGCUCUGAGUGUUUCUACGACGGAUAUAACAACAACAUUGGAAGAUUCUGUUCAAAGCGCAAACCAGGCCCUUGAAGUUUUAAAAAUCCCCAACAGUCUCGAUGCAGAAACAGAGACAACAGUGACAAACCUGCUCAAUUUAACGGAUAAUCUGCAAAGUAUAUGCACAUCUGUUAAAACGGAAAUAGAGAAAAAAAUUGACAUGGGAAAACGCGACACUGAAACAGUCUAUGUUGAAUGUGGACCAGCUAGACCACGUUUAACCUUCAAUUCAGGAGAAAUAAACAUACACUUUGUUUUAUAUAUUUUGUGUUUUACGGCAGUAUAUGUAUCUUUGUAUAAUUAUAUAUUUUUGUAUCGACCUGCUCGAUCGAUUCUACGUACACCAUACAUAAUUCUACAUGAAAUAGAGCUUCGGCAAAUUGAACAUACUGCGUAAGCAGUAAAGACACUACAACACAAGUUGUUAGAACUCGAACGCAACGUCCAACAACGAAACUAAUUGUGAACCAAAGAUUUGCUAACAAAAGAACCGGUUUUCUUGAACGCAUAAUUAGUGAACAUCUUUUUGAAAAGCGGUACAAACGCUUUUUUAUCAAAUGAUGAUUACCCAUAAACGAACCGACAAUUUAAACAUUUUCCUUGUAAGCUGUGUUCUUUGAAAGAAUAUAAUCCAUACAUUAAUUUUUAAAUACAUGUAUAUGAAUAUUGUUUAAAAAAAAUUGCCUAAAUGAUGAUUAUUGGCUUUUGCGACACAAUAGAGUUUUAAGUUUAUGUUAACGGUAUUUCAUUGGUGCUGAACCCGAUUUCAUGUUCAGCAGUUACUGUAUAUAAGGAUUUUCAUGUGGAUCUUUUUGAAAUUAAUGGUGAUUUUCUAUGUUGUUGUUUUUUGCCGAAUAAUGUUAUUAGUCCUUAACAAAAAAUUUCGGAAAAACACAUUGUUUUUAAGCCAAUUAAGAAAAAUAAUGCGAUAAUCUUUUUGAAUCCUAUAUGCUUGACACAAUUCAUAUUCAUUGAAUAAUGGAAGAACAGUAUCAGCGCGGUUAUCGCAUAGACUCCUGAAGACAUAUAAGAUAAAUAUAAUAUUGCGUAACAAAAUAUAAAUUUAAGUUCGUUUUCUACUAACAUUGGAAUAUUGAAUUUCCUUCAUGCACCCAAUAUUGCUUUCAUUAUUUGGUUUGUUUCAACCUAUAAAUAAAUUUGCAUUGAUUGACCAUGCCAAUAUGUUAAUUUACUUAUUGUUUUAGAUGUGUUAUUAUUGCCUGUUUUGUAUCGUUAGAGUUUCUUCAUUUAGAAGUAAAGGUCAGUUCACUUGCCCCUUAGUAAAUUUAAAAUGACACAUGUAAUUGAAGAACAUGAAAACCGUUUGGUAUGUUAAUUUUAAUGUUUUAUUAGCCUAGUAAAAUUCAUUUUGUUACUCCUAGGCAACACAAAGUUAAUACUUUAUUUAAAUAAUGCAUAUGCAUUAUAUAACAAAACUUGAUAACAUGUUUUUGUAAACAGUGUAUUUUGUUAAAUGUAAUAAACUACGAAAAAGAGUUCAAAAGAAUUCGUCACACAGAAGAGGACGAUUAAAUGAUACGACUUUCUGGAAACUUUCUCAUUUUUGAAAAUGAUUGCAGGAACAGUGAAUUAACUAUUUGUAAAUUAUACUUCUUAAAUGGGUGAUAAUAAUGAUACUGAUGGUGAUGAUGAUGAUGAUGAUGAUGAUGAUGAUGAUGAUGAUGAUGAUGAUGAUGAUGAUGAUGAUGAUGAUGAUGGUGAUGAUGAUGAUGAUAGUGAUGAUGAUAGUGAUGAUAGUGAUGAUGAUUGGGAUGAUGAUGGUGGUGAUGAUGAUCAUGAUGAGUAAGAAGAUGAUGAUAAAUGAAUGACGAUUAAUUAAUGAGGCGGAUAACAUUUAGCAAAUUCCCAGUAUCGAGUUAUGCAUGAGUCUGCCUUAAAAUCGUAAAUAGAGAACGAGGGUAACGAUGUGUUAUCUUUGAUUGCCAAAAAAGAAAUUGUAAUGAUAUGUGAAGAGUAUGUUAUACUAUAUACAUAAACAUAUAAUAUA
Dreissena polymorpha is the source of this 2448-nucleotide long non-coding RNA. RefSeq lists it as uncharacterized. NCBI's taxonomy places the organism in Eukaryota, Metazoa, Mollusca, Bivalvia, Myida, Dreissenidae. The transcript is spliced from 2 exons. The record is from RefSeq and is a predicted model, not a curated record.